GGUUUCCUGGGGCGUACGACACGUAGGCGAAUGUCCCUGAGCCGAUGCUUAUAUCUAAAGGGGACCACUGGCCCGUCAUGAGCAAGCCCGACACGUAUCGGGAAGCCUACGAUGGAUCCCAUUUGCUCCCCGCCUUGAACCAAUGGGUUCAAGGGCUAACGCCCAACAACGGCGCCGCCGGGAAACCA
This 188-nucleotide non-coding RNA is filed under the name Idiomarina aquatica. RNAcentral's name for it is "6S / SsrS RNA". It matches the Rfam family "6S / SsrS RNA". Rfam says of the family: E. coli 6S RNA was the first non coding RNA to be sequenced, but its function was unknown until recently. It consists of 184 nucleotides that fold into an extended hairpin structure with a large single-stranded internal bulge. The record is from RNAcentral. RNAcentral also lists the same sequence under 2 other names. Lineage: Bacteria; Pseudomonadati; Pseudomonadota; Gammaproteobacteria; Alteromonadales; Idiomarinaceae.